Styela clava is the source of this 231-nucleotide non-coding RNA. The record is from RefSeq and is a predicted model, not a curated record. Lineage: Eukaryota; Metazoa; Chordata; Ascidiacea; Stolidobranchia; Styelidae.
AUAGAUUUCACUGAAGCAUUGCUUAAUCUAAUUUAAUGGCGGAAGAAGGAAAAUUGAUUCAACUGCCAGUGAUAAAUGUUACUGUAGUAAACUGUCACGAAGGAACAAGACAAAUAGCAAAUGUUCAUGCAGCUAACAUAGGACGGGUGGAUAUUAACACAGGAGAAGAGAACUCUGCAACACCGCCAGCCACGAUCGAACAUGAUUCGAUACCAAGUAGAGUUUUGACAG